RNAcentral lists this ribosomal RNA (497 nucleotides) under uncultured bacterium. Its description in RNAcentral is "partial 16S ribosomal RNA". It matches the Rfam family "Bacterial small subunit ribosomal RNA", at positions 28 to 507 of the family's 1533-position model. The record is from RNAcentral.
GAUGAACGCUGGCGGCGUGCCUAAUACAUGCAAGUCGAGCGAACGGACGAGGAGCUUGCUGCGCUGAUGUUAGCGGCGGACGUGUGAGUAACACGUGUAUAACCUACCUAUAAGACUGGUAUAACUUCGGGAAACCGGAGCUAAUACCGUAUAAUAUUUUGAACCGCGGGGGUCGAAGGUGAAAGACGGUGGUGCUGGCACGUAUAGAUGGAUCUGCGCUGCAUUGUCUAGUUGGUAAGGUAACGGGUUACCACGGCAACGAUGCAUAGGCGACCUGAGAGGGUGAUCGGCCACACUGGAACUGAGACACGGUCAAGACUCCUACGGGACGCAGCAGUAGGGAAUCGUCCGCAACGGGCGAAAGCCUGACGGAGCAACGCCGCGUGAGUGAUGACGGUCUUCGGAUCGUAAAACUCUGUUAUUAGGGAAGAACAUAUGUGUACGUAAAUGUGCACAUCUUGACGGUAACUAAUAAGAAAGCCACGGCUAACUACGUG